RNAcentral lists this ribosomal RNA (116 nucleotides) under Pseudomonas fluorescens. Lineage: Bacteria; Pseudomonadati; Pseudomonadota; Gammaproteobacteria; Pseudomonadales; Pseudomonadaceae. The record is from RNAcentral. RNAcentral also lists the same sequence under 2 other names.
CUUGACGACCAUAGAACAUUGGAACGACCUGAUCCCAUCCCGAACUCAGAAGUGAAACGAUGUAUCGCCGAUGGUAGUGUGGGGUUUCCCCAUGUGAGAGUAGGUCAUCGUCAAGA